Molecule: ribosomal RNA, 253 nt
Filed under: uncultured bacterium
Lineage: Bacteria
Description: partial 16S ribosomal RNA
Rfam family: Bacterial small subunit ribosomal RNA
Source: RNAcentral
UACAGAGGUCCCAAGCGUUGUUCGGAUUCACUGGGCGUAAAGGGUGCGUAGGUGGCCGGGUAAGUCUGACGUGAAAUCUCCAAGCUCAACUUGGAAACUGCGUCGGAUACUAUCCGGCUAGAGGAUCGGAGGGGAGACUGGAAUACUUGGUGUAGCAGUGAAAUGCGUAGAUAUCAAGUGGAACACCAGUGGCGAAGGCGAGUCUCUGGACGAUUCCUGACACUGAGGCACGAAAGCCAGGGGAGCGAACGGG